GGCCAUUUCCACUGCACAUGACCGAAAACCGCGGCCCGGCUGAAACACUGCCCGCAAACACGUGCCGCGCGUGUUCGCGGGUAAAUUCGUCAGAACGUCGGAAGUGGCAAAAACGCCGUUCAGUGAGGAUAGACUCGUACAGAUCGUCUCGCAGGAUCACAAGGAGCGCAAGGCACAGAAGAGAUUGCUCAAGGCAGGUUUGAGCUCAACGAAAUACAUCUACACCACCAAUGUGGACGACACGGUCCAGAUAGAUGGUGACAUACAAUUCGUCAUGAAUCCUAAAAUACCAUUGUCGAACAUAGAAGACGAUAUCACUAUUGGCCAGCCGUUGAUAGUGAUGAGUGAUGAUGAGUCAGAUGACAACACGACGAAUCAAUCGGAGAUCGAUGGCAAAACCCUGUCGGACGCUGUUGCAGAGUUCAUCAUAAUGGGUCUCCAUUUACCAGAGGAUCGCGAAUUUUAGAGGCUUGUAACUACCUUGCGCCCACCCUGUGCAAUCCCCAGCAAGAAAAAAUUAGAGGAGGAGAUAAUACCAAAGAUAUAAGAGACUUUCUGCGUGUCUGUGGCAGCGUCGUUGUCCUGCAUCACUGCAGGAACAAUCGUCAGUGUUGAAAGAAAAUGCUAUGUUGCUGGAUUAUCCUGGCGUAUGGAUCUCUACGUACAACAUGCUGGAACAAAUGGUGCUACAUCGCAGGAGUAUCACAACUAUAGUAGAAAACAGAAGGAAUAGAUCAAAAACUGCUCGAGAUUACCAACGACCAGUGGACAGUUAUCGAGGAUCUUGUGAGUGUCCUUCAACCAUUUCAAGACACCAUUAUAGCACUCAGUGAGGAAAGAAUACCGCAGGUGUCAUUAUUGAAGCCACUACUUGAGCAACUUGUGUCCUCACAUCUCACAGUGCAAGAAUCCAACAGCGAGACUGCCAAGUCAUUCAAGAAAUCUCUGUUGGAUAUGUUAUGCGAGUGAUAUGUGGACGGCAACGUUAUGCUACUUCUACAAAUGACAGCUACUUUGGAUCCCAGGUGAGGUACCGAAGAUAGUCGAUUUCGGACACAAACGACAGAUUACCCUUCGGAUUAAGGGUUAAGUAUUAUAUAUUUCAAUUUUUAUUAAAUCUUUUCUAUCAUAUCUUCUAUUCAUAUAUUCUAUCUUAGUGAUAGUACAAAAAUACUUGUUAAUAGAAAUUUUUUACAUACUGUAUAUAACAAACUAUUUUUUACUUGGUUUUAAGUAAAAUGGGAUACGUAUAUUAAGAUAUAUACGAUGUGGAAAUCUAUUAACUUACGUUAUUUCAUAAAAUUUAAAUAUGUACCAUGUAUCAUGUAUAUGUAUAUUUGCUUUGUAUUACAGUAUAGGUAUACUAAAUAAAAAUAUUAAUUUUAUGUA
This is a long non-coding RNA of Ooceraea biroi (clonal raider ant), 1389 nucleotides long. RefSeq lists it as uncharacterized. NCBI's taxonomy places the organism in Eukaryota, Metazoa, Arthropoda, Insecta, Hymenoptera, Formicidae. The record is from RefSeq and is a predicted model, not a curated record.